This 490-nucleotide ribosomal RNA is filed under the name uncultured bacterium. RNAcentral's name for it is "partial 16S ribosomal RNA". It matches the Rfam family "Bacterial small subunit ribosomal RNA", at positions 30 to 507 of the family's 1533-position model. The record is from RNAcentral.
AUUGAACGCUGGCGGCAGGCCUAACACAUGCAAGUCGAACGGUAACAGGAAGCAGCUUGCUGCUUCGCUGACGAGUGGCGGACGGGUGAGUAAUGUCUGGGAAGCUGCCUGAUGGAGGGGGAUAACUACUGGAAACGGUAGCUACUACCGCAUAAUGUCGCAAGACCAAAGAGGGGGACCUUCGGGCCUCUUGCCAUCAGAUGUGCCCAGCUGGGCUUCGUUGGUUUGUGGGGUAACGGCUCACCAAGGCGACGAGCCCUAGCUGGUCUGAGAGGAUGACCAGCCACACGGGAACUGAGACACGGUCCAGACUCCUACGGGAGGCAGCAGUGGGGAAUAUUGCACAAUGGGCGCAAGCCUGAUGCAGCCAUGCCGCGUGUAUGAAGAAGGCCUUCGGGUUGUAAAGUACUUUCAGCGGGGAGAAAGGGAGUAAAGUUAAUACCUUUGCUCAUUGACGUUACCCGCAGAAGAAGCACCGGCUAACUACGUG